RNAcentral lists this ribosomal RNA (753 nucleotides) under Serratia marcescens. RNAcentral's name for it is "bacterial SSU rRNA". It matches the Rfam family "Bacterial small subunit ribosomal RNA", at positions 30 to 773 of the family's 1533-position model. The record is from RNAcentral. Lineage: Bacteria; Pseudomonadati; Pseudomonadota; Gammaproteobacteria; Enterobacterales; Yersiniaceae.
AGUACGCUCGGCGGCAGGCUUAACACAUGCAAGUCGAGCGGUAGCACAGGGGAGCUUGCUCCCUGGGUGACGAGCGGCGGACGGGUGAGUAAUGUCUGGGAAACUGCCUGAUGGAGGGGGAUAACUACUGGAAACGGUAGCUAAUACCGCAUAACGUCGCAAGACCAAAGAGGGGGACCUUCGGGCCUUUUGCCAUCAGAUGUGCCCAGAUGGGAUUAGCUAGUAGGUGGGGUAAUGGCUCACCUAGGCGACGAUCCCUAGCUGGUCUGAGAGGAUGACCAGCCACACUGGAACUGAGACACGGUCCAGACUCCUACGGGAGGCAGCAGUGGGGAAUAUUGCACAAUGGGCGCAAGCCUGAUGCAGCCAUGCCGCGUGUGUGAAGAAGGCCUUCGGGUUGUAAAGCACUUUCAGCGAGGAGGAAGGUGGUGAGCUUAAUACGUUCAUCAAUUGACGUUACUCGCAGAAGAAGCACCGGCUAACUCCGUGCCAGCAGCCGCGGUAAUACGGAGGGUGCAAGCGUUAAUCGGAAUUACUGGGCGUAAAGCGCACGCAGGCGGUUUGUUAAGUCAGAUGUGAAAUCCCCGGGCUCAACCUGGGAACUGCAUUUGAAACUGGCAAGCUAGAGUCUCGUAGAGGGGGGUAGAAUUCCAGGUGUAGCGGUGAAAUGCGUAGAGACUGGAGGAAUACCGGUGGCGAAGGCGGCCCCCUGGACGAAGACUGACGCCCAGGUGCGAAAGCGGGGGAGCAAAC